AUGGACAGUUAAACAUAGUUUGAAGACUUACGCUAAGGUUAACUUUAGUUUAAAGACUAGUUUUGAUCUUUUUUUGUUUCGGACUACAAAUAUUUGUGGGCCUUUCUAGCUGGUAUGUUGGUCUGGUCGGUGAGAACUUUAGAGAUGCUGCAAAAGUUAGGGAAUUCUUUGCUUUCAUGCAUGAAAAUAUUCUUCUUAAGUAAUGGGUUUUCGUUUAUGUAUAAUACAAAGCCUUGAUGGUGGUUUGUCCUCAGGGAACUUGGGAUUGGUGGGAGUUUGAAAUGCCAUGUUUUGUUUUUAAAGAUUUCUUUAUUUAUAUGCGAUACCAGACCAACAGACACACUCUCCGCGAAAUCCAGCGCUUAAUUCUAUGACUUUUCCAUAAAUGUUUUAUGACAUUUUCUAUAGAUUUUAUUUUGGAAUUAAAUUAUGAAUUAAAU
RNAcentral lists this long non-coding RNA (440 nucleotides) under Drosophila guanche. Lineage: Eukaryota; Metazoa; Arthropoda; Insecta; Diptera; Drosophilidae. The record is from RNAcentral.